GCAUUUUUGGAUAUAUAUAAAGCGGUAAAGAAAUAAAUGACACGCGCGCACACACUUUUUAUUUAUGAUUUACAUGGAAUAUUACGGCUUGCAUGUAGAUGAAAUUAGUUUCAAACAAUUAAAGUUUAACGGAAUACCAACUCUAAACCGCAACAUCAGCGAAUAGCAGCAAACUUUAAAGUUUAAUGGAAUAUUAUGUCUUUAUUAUAGAUCACAUACAUCAUUAAAUGAAUGAACUUAGAAUGUAGUUUUUUGCUUAUAUUAAUGACCGGAGGGUGUACGUGUAAUAGCAAUGAAACAAAGGGACAUUGGUAACACUAUAUCAAAACACAUUCAUAUUCUACUAAAACAAAAAUCAUUUCAACUCUUUUAACACUCUCUCUCUCUCUCUCUCUCUCUCUCUAUCUCUCUCAUGUGUUCGAGCUAACCAGAAGCAAACGUUCAAACAUGGACGCAAAGCUAAAUGUGCGAAUCACAGGAUAAUGCUACUAGAGUUAUUGCCGAGGGUCUGUGACCGGAUCAGAAAAUGGUGUCAAAAGUAAUGACCCGGAAUCCUUUAUUUGUGACAUCAAAUACGUUGGCUAUUGAUGCUCUACAAAAGAUGGUCUAAGAACAAAAAGUUUAAUACUGUAAAAGAUUUGAAGAAGAAAGAAAGGAAAAGACAUGGGAAGACAGGGGAAAUAGAGUACAAUUAUACCUGUGACUAUGUUAUAAUUUAUAGAGUACAUGUUACAUUGGAUGAAAACUUGCAAUCGUUUUAGUAUGUAAUUCAAAAUGUGUUGCAUAGUGCAUAGUUCAUUUUCAUUAUGCAAGACAGGGGAAAUUUUAUAGAGUAUGUAAUUCAAAUUGGUUAUUAAAACUUCUCUCUAAUAUGUUAAUUCAAAUAUGAGUGAAGUCAGAGCCCGAUCAGGGUCAAACGACGUAUGAAUGUCGAUAUUUUAAGUCAAAAUUUGGGGUAUGACAAUAUCCAAUUGUUUUUUUCAUA
Molecule: long non-coding RNA, 985 nt
Organism: Medicago truncatula (barrel medic)
Lineage: Eukaryota; Viridiplantae; Streptophyta; Magnoliopsida; Fabales; Fabaceae
Exons: 3
Source: RefSeq, a predicted model, not a curated record